AGACAGACAGACAGACAGACAGACAGACAGACAGAGACAGAGACAGACAGACAGACAGACAGACAGACAGACAGACAGACAGACAGACAGACAGACAGACAGACAGACAGACAGACAGACAGACAGACAGACAGACAGAGACGUUGUUGAUGUUAAUGCCAAGAACUCGCCCUCAUGCAGGCAGCAGACACUGUGUUACUGAAUACUCGGAUCCUUCCUGUCCUCUCUGUUGCUUCCUGUCUGACACAGGAAGUGGGCUGUCCUCUCCCAGUGCACAGGGAAGAGCAUGCCAAACCAAGCCUACCCAGGGUUCCUCACAGAGUAACACUUUCAACAGGGCUGUGGGCUCUCUCUCUGUCUUUCUCACAAACACACACACACUAGCUGAGAGAUCAGCAAGUACACUAUAAGAAGAGUACAGGCAGUAUUAGAAUGUGAGUUAUGAGGGAGAACUCUGUCUAACCUUUGGCCCCAGCACUGACUUCUAUAUCAGUCUUCCUUAAUAUUCUGUUACUGUGACGACCACAGAACAACUGACUCUAACACUCCUCUAGUUGCCAACACACGUAAAUGACAUAACUCUCAUACACACACACAUGCUCACACAGCAGUAGUGGUCUGUAACCCAGAUGUUUGUCUGUCUGUACAUAUGUGUGUUUGCCUGACAAUACGCGUGAGUAUGUUUGAGUGUGCAGGUGUUUGUGUGUUGAACUAUUUUGUAACAUUUGUACAAAGCCUUGUUAAGUUAACCUUGUAAAUAUAUAUAUUAUUACAUUAUUAUUAUAAUUUUUGUUUUUGUUUUUUAUGGUUAACAUAAGUGCACACAGGUGCACCAUAAUUUCCUUCAAGAUGUUACUUGAAAUGUUCCCCUUAAUAUAUUAUUUUUUCUUUUAUAUACAGUGUAUAUUAUAUAUAUUUUUUGGUAUGAAAAGAAUAAGUACUUUUAUUGUGAUUUGACUUCUCGCAUCCUAAACGCAUCCUAAACGCAUCCUUAAAGAAGCAUCCUAAAUCUGACUUAAUUCCCGUUCCUUGUUUCCUCAUAGACGGCCUUCCUCUGUGACUCACAGUGCUCUAUGCAGAAAUACUUUCUCUCGUUUAGCAAAGAUAGAAUAACUCAUCCAACAUUCAAAUUCUCCAGUCAAUAUCCCUAGGUCUGGCCGUUGCAAUGCCUCUCCAUUUCAUGGCUGGAUAGCAUCCAUUUCCGCAUUUGAAGAAAGAAACGUACUCUCCCCUUGCUGACACUAGUAUCUACUUUAUCUAUUUUGCAGCAAGCAGGGCUUUAUCUACUUAAGUCAGAAUAAUGUUUGUAAGCAACUCAGCUCUCUUAUCAAAGAACGGUCACAUACUGUACUCGCAUCAACGUUAUCAUAACUGUCUUUUCAAUUGGAUGAAGUAUUAGUUGGUAAUAAUUUGCUUGACCAAACCUGCAUAUGUACCAGAGGAAACAUUUCCUCUCAUCUGAUAGGUGGCAUAGAAAGCUUCAAAAUAUUGACAACAUGCCGUUAAAACGUCAAGGAUUAUAAAUGCAACCUGCAUGUAUACACAAAGUUACGUUUGGUAUACGUCUGUCAAUUAUAUUUGAUUUGUUAUAUUAUCAGGAAUCGUUUUAGUGUGACACCAUCUGCACAUGAUUUUUCAUGUCACAUAAUACAUUUCCGUAAGUUUAGACUCACUCAAGUGAAUGACCACUGUGAGCGGGGUGCUUCAGAAUUCCUGGGUACAAAUGACUGAUUGCAGAAAUGUGGUUACCAUAAGUAGGCAUUUUGGGGUCUGCUGUGUUUCUAGACUUGCAUGUCAUUCUCUUGGCCAUGGUCCAAGAUGAGUUUCCAUUUCCCAGAUACUCUUUAUUAACUGUUCCUCAACCAAUGUCAUAUGGGACUUAUUCUUCGGGUUUGCCUGACAGGAUUUUUCUCAUCAUUAAAUGUAAUUGACUUUUUGUUAGUCUUGUCUUACCUCAAGACUUGCCCUACAAGUGCCUGAUUUCUGGGGUGUUUUUGUUCUGCAGUGAGUGCCAUGGUCAGUCCUCACCUCCCCCAUUAACCCUCAUUAUUCCAGACUCUCAAAGCCAAAAGCUUCAACCUUCACAUCUAGUUAUAAGCCAGACUGAAUCCAUUAUCUUCUCGUUGCUGUGCUUACAUCUUAGCCGCUGACCCAAAGACGUGUACACGAACAGCCUCUCUGGGAGGCCAUUAACAGCAACACUAUGUCUGGCCAAGGACUUGUCUAUGCAGUCUGUUUGCAUCUAACAGGCACUAACAAACAGCAGAAUACCCGAUGCUGCAAAGGCGAGGGAAAGUAUACUGCUCUCACCUGCUUUUCUCGUACACAGAGGUUAUUUCACGUGGACAGUGUUUUCUAUGGUAUACAUAACAAGCUCCAAGUAAGGGUAAUCAAUACCUAAAACAUGGGAAUAUAGUACCAACUCAUUUGCAUUAGAUUUUGUUUGGUGAACUAACUGUAUAAAUAUAAUCUGUAGGAGACAUACAGCUGAGCUUAACAGAGCUGAUCCAAACUGCUCAUGCCUUCAUGGAAAAGAUAAAUACAGAAAUUGUAGAACAUUCUGACAACGCUCAAUGUGUGUUUAGGUGUCCGUCUCUUGAAAUGUGACAUAUCUUAUGUUUGUUAUUAUGUCUGAUAAUAUUUUGUACAUAUUGUCUUGAUAUGUAACAUAUUGUAUUGUGUAAAGUACAUUUUGAAUUGCUUUGAGUAAACAAUCUUAUAAGAAAAUGGACUGACUAAAGGUUAUCCACCUGGAACCAUUUUAUUCAAUGGCUUUUUUCCUUCAAAGCAAGGUUAUAUGAUGUAAAUAAACAGAAUUACGUUUUAAAAAUAGAAUUUCUUUCAGUUGCUUGAAAGUUUUGUGAAUGUUUAAUGUCAAUAGUAUUCUGUUGUCAAUGCUGACAUGCUUCAUUCUAGGCAAAAGUUUCAGAUAUGUCAUUGAAAUGGGGUAGGAUGUCAAUCCACAUUAACAAAAUUCAUUCACAGGUUUGUGAAACCACUGAUUGGCAUCCACCCAACGCAUCCUGCACCACAAUAAAAAAAAAUACUGU
Molecule: long non-coding RNA, 3050 nt
Organism: Oncorhynchus tshawytscha (Chinook salmon)
Lineage: Eukaryota; Metazoa; Chordata; Actinopteri; Salmoniformes; Salmonidae
Source: Ensembl